Molecule: ribosomal RNA, 884 nt
Filed under: uncultured bacterium
Lineage: Bacteria
Description: bacterial SSU rRNA
Rfam family: Bacterial small subunit ribosomal RNA
Source: RNAcentral
GCCCUUGAGUUUGAUCCUGGCUCAGGAUGAACGCUGGCGGUAUGCUUUACACAUGCAAGUCGUACGAGAGUUUUUAACUCAAGUGGCGGACGGGUGAGUAACACGUAAGAAUUUGCCUUUAGGAGGGGGAUAACAACUGGAAACGGUUGCUAAUACCCCAUAUGCUUUCGAGUAAAAUGGAUUUUCCGCCUAAAGAGAAGCUUGCGGCUGAUUAGCUUGUUGGUGAGGUAAUGGCUCACCAAGGCGACGAUCAGUAUCUGGUUUGAGAGGACGAUCAGACACACUGGAACUGAGACACGGUCCAGACUCCUACGGGAGGCAGCAGUGGGGAAUUUUCCGCAAUGGGCGAAAGCCUGACGGAGCAAUACCGCGUGAGGGAUGACGGCCUAUGGGUUGUAAACCUCUUUUUUCAGGGAGGAAUCAAUGACGUGUACCUGAAGAAUAAGCAUCGGCUAACUCCGUGCCAGCAGCCGCGGUAAGACGGAGGAUGCAAGUGUUAUCCGGAAUCACUGGGCGUAAAGCGUCUGUAGGUGGUCAAAUAAGUCAACUGUUAAAUCUUGAGGCUCAACCUCAAAAUCGCAGUCGAAACUAUUCGACUAGAGUAUAGUAGGGGUAAAGGGAAUUUCCAGUGGAGCGGUGAAAUGCGUAGAGAUUGGAAAGAACACCGAUGGCGAAGGCACUUUACUGGGCUAUUACUAACACUGAGAGACGAAAGCUAGGGUAGCAAAUGGGAUUAGAUACCCCAGUAGUCCUAGCCGUAAACAAUGGAUACUAGAUGUUGAACAGAUCGACCUGUGCAGUAUCAAAGCUAACGCGUUAAGUAUCCCGCCUGGGAAGUAUGCUCGCAAGAGUGAAACUCAAAUGAAUUGACGGGGAAGGCGAAU